AACGCACGAGACCUGCGGACCUGCGGAAGGAUCAUUACCAGGUGAUGUCUGGCCCUUCGGGGUCAGCAUCUCCCCCUUUCUUGUCUACUGACCCCGUUGUCUGGGCGUGCUUCCGGAGGUGUGGUGCCUAACCAUGCCCCCCCGGCAGCCCAGAAGUUAGGUCUAAACUCAGGUAACAUUGGUGACAUGUCUGACUAUUGUAUCAAUUCAAUUGAUCAAAACUUUUAGCAAUGGAUCUCU
RNAcentral lists this unclassified non-coding RNA (240 nucleotides) under soil metagenome. RNAcentral describes it as "partial contains 5.8S ribosomal RNA, internal transcribed spacer 2, and large subunit ribosomal RNA". The record is from RNAcentral.